Non-coding RNA from Acanthosepion pharaonis, 93 nucleotides. The record is from the annotation of a GenBank genome assembly. Lineage: Eukaryota; Metazoa; Mollusca; Cephalopoda; Sepiida; Sepiidae.
AUCCGAGUUCCCAUGCGAUCACCGAGGUUAAGCAACGUCGAGCCUGGUUAGUACCUAGAUGGGUGACCGUUUGGGAAUACCAGGUGCUGUAAG